This is a long non-coding RNA of Sander lucioperca (pikeperch), 241 nucleotides long. RefSeq lists it as uncharacterized. The record is from RefSeq and is a predicted model, not a curated record. The transcript has 5 exons. NCBI's taxonomy places the organism in Eukaryota, Metazoa, Chordata, Actinopteri, Perciformes, Percidae.
ACCUCACGAAAAAAUGAAUCCAUUCCACAAGCAAGAAAGCAUUCCAGGACGGAGCGUGUGUCCAGAAGUCCUGUCCGUCAGCAGACAUCACUGCCUCCACCACCUGCAUAUGAGUCAACACCACACAGGAAACCAGUCAGUCGCCCAGAGCUGGAUGGGUCUAUUAUAACGCAAGCUCGGCCUGCCACUUCAUCUUGGGACCCGGUUGAAGAACUCAUCACACAGGAGAUGGAAAUGAGAG